RNAcentral lists this ribosomal RNA (460 nucleotides) under uncultured bacterium. RNAcentral describes it as "partial 16S ribosomal RNA". It matches the Rfam family "Bacterial small subunit ribosomal RNA", at positions 338 to 795 of the family's 1533-position model. The record is from RNAcentral.
CCUACGGGGGGCAGCAGUGAGGAAUAUUGGUCAAUGGACGAGAGUCUGAACCAGCCAAGUAGCGUGAAGGAUGACUGCCCUCUGGGUUGUAAACUUCUUUUAUAUGGGAAUAAAAUGUUCCACGUGUGGGAUUUUGUAUGUACCCUAUGAAUAAGGAUCGGCUAACUCCGUGCCAGCAGCCGCGGUAAUACGGAGGAUCCGAGCGUUAUCCGGAUUUAUUGGGUUUAAAGGGAGCGUAGGUGGAUUGUUAAGUCAGUUGUGAAAGUUUGCGGCUCAACCGUAAAAUUGCAGUUGAAACUGGCAGUCUUGAGUACAGUAGAGGUGGGCGGAAUUCGUGGUGUAGCGGUGAAAUGCUUAGAUAUCACGAAGAACUCCGAUUGCGAAGGCAGUUCACUGGACUGCAACUGACACUGAGGCUCGAAAGUGUGGGUAUCAAACAGGAUUAGAUACCCCAGUAGUC